CAAUAGUAUAUAUUUUUAACACGCCGGCCUUGUAAACCGGAAAAGGGUACGCCCUAACCCUUGCAAU
This 67-nucleotide transfer RNA is filed under the name Aspidoscelis gularis. Its description in RNAcentral is "tRNA-Thr". The record is from RNAcentral. Lineage: Eukaryota; Metazoa; Chordata; Lepidosauria; Squamata; Teiidae.